UCACUAAUAAUUAUUUGAAUUCAAAUAUAUAUAAAUUAUAUAAAUUUAUUUUAUAAAAUUAUAGUUUAAAAUUUAAAAUUAAAAUAUAAAUUUAAAAUUUUAAUUUUAAUUUUUAAAAUUUUAAUUUAAAAUUUUUAAAUUAAAAUUUGACUUUUACCUUGAAUUGAAUUGUAAAUUCAAAAUUUUAAGUUUAAAUUGUAAGUUCAAAUUUUGAUUAAAAUUUUGAAUAAAAAGUAUAAAUUUUUAAUAAAAAUUUAAUUUUAUUGAAUUUUUAUUUGGACAUAAUUCUAAUUCCAAUUUUGACUCCUCUUAUGAGCCAAAGAAAUUAAUUAUCAACUUUAUCAUUCUGUUUUUGAUUCCAAUCCUGUUUUUAAUUCCAACCCAUUUUCAUUUCUGUUCCGAUUUCGAUUUUUCUUUUAAACCGAGCGUACUCUAAAUUGUGUCUCUUACUCCUUCAAAGAAAUUAAUUUAUUACCUUAAUUGCUUUGAUUUUUCAAUUUUUUUUUUUUAUCUUUCCUCUGUGUCAUAUUCUUGUACAUAACAAUAAUUAAAAAAAAGUUACGAGUGCGUCUGGUAUGCUUCUGGAAGCACGGAGCGCUCUGUGCUUCCACAUUGUUUCCGAUGUUCGGACUUUCGAAUCGACGAUCGGCUCCGUUAGACUUGAUCUAGAGUAUUUGAAGUAUCUAGAAAAUAAAUUUUGCGAUUUUUCGAUAUCAUUUGCCUAGUGAUUGAAGUGGCUCAAAAUCAACAGCUGAAAAUAAAAUCUUACAAAAUAUGAUGAUAUGACAUUAAAAUUUUAGAUUAACGUUAUUGAUGUUGUUUAAUAUGGUAUAAAGAAUUUUUUAUCAAAAUUUCAUGUGAUUUGAAUAUUUCUACACCGUUAAACUUGCAAACGGCUCACCACAGCCGUUAAAAUUAUUGAUUUUGAGCCCCUUCAAUCACUAGGCAAAUGAUAUCGAAAAAUCACAAAAUUUAUUUUUUAGGUACUUCAAAUACUCUAGAUCAACUCUAAUGGAACUGAUCGUCGAUUUGAAAAUCCGAAUAUCAAAAACAACUUAGAUGCACGGAGAGAAGCAUACCAGCCCACUCAAAAGUUACAAUAAUUAACAUCAACU
RNAcentral lists this long non-coding RNA (1115 nucleotides) under Ananas comosus (pineapple). RNAcentral's name for it is "long non-coding RNA (ACOM_LNC023527)". Lineage: Eukaryota; Viridiplantae; Streptophyta; Magnoliopsida; Poales; Bromeliaceae. The record is from RNAcentral.